UACGUAGGCAGCAAGCGUUGUUCGGAGUUACUGGGCGUAAAGGGUGCGUAGGCGGUCCUGUAAGUAUGGUCUGAAAUCUCCCGGCUUAACUGGGAGGGUGGGCUAUAGACUGCGGGACUAGAGGGUGGGAGAGGAAAGUGGAAUUCCUGGUGUAGCGGUGAAAUGCGUAGAUAUCAGGAGGAACACCGGUGGUGUAAACGGCUUUCUGGACCAUUUCUGACGCUGAGGCACGAAAGCGUGGGUAGCAAACAGG
RNAcentral lists this ribosomal RNA (253 nucleotides) under uncultured bacterium. RNAcentral's name for it is "partial 16S ribosomal RNA". It matches the Rfam family "Bacterial small subunit ribosomal RNA", at positions 524 to 776 of the family's 1533-position model. The record is from RNAcentral.